AGAAUAAUUCACAAUGGGGGCAACCCUGAUGGUGCAACGCCGCGUGGAGGAUGACGGUCUUCGGAUUGUAAACUCCUGUCAUCUGGGAGUAAGACCUGGCUGUGAAUAGCAGACAGGGUUGAUAGUACCAGGAGAGGCAGGGACGGCUAACUUCGUGCCAGCAGCCGCGGUAAUACGAAGGUCCCGAGCGUUGUUCGGAAUCACUGGGCGUAAAGGGAGCGUAGGCGGCGCGGUAAGUCAGAUGUGAAAUCCCGGGGCUCAACCCCGGAACUGCAUCCGAUACUGCCGUGCUAGAGGAUUGGAGAGGUAGCUGGAAUUCUUGGUGUAGCAGUGAAAUGCGUGGAGAUCAAGAGGAACACUCGUGGCGAAAGCGAGCUACUGGACAAUAACUGACGCUGAGGCUCGAAGGCUAGGGUAGCGAA
This 422-nucleotide ribosomal RNA is filed under the name uncultured bacterium. RNAcentral describes it as "bacterial SSU rRNA". It matches the Rfam family "Bacterial small subunit ribosomal RNA", at positions 358 to 772 of the family's 1533-position model. The record is from RNAcentral.